This 465-nucleotide ribosomal RNA is filed under the name Vreelandella stevensii. RNAcentral describes it as "partial 16S ribosomal RNA". It matches the Rfam family "Bacterial small subunit ribosomal RNA", at positions 338 to 795 of the family's 1533-position model. Lineage: Bacteria; Pseudomonadati; Pseudomonadota; Gammaproteobacteria; Oceanospirillales; Halomonadaceae. The record is from RNAcentral.
CCUACGGGGGGCUGCAGUGGGGAAUAUUGGACAAUGGGCGAAAGCCUGAUCCAGCCAUGCCGCGUGUGUGAAGAAGGCCUUCGGGUUGUAAAGCACUUUCAGUGGGGAAGAAAGCCUUGGGGCUAAUACCCUCGAGGAAGGACAUCACCCACAGAAGAAGCACCGGCUAACUCCGUGCCAGCAGCCGCGGUAAUACGGAGGGUGCGAGCGUUAAUCGGAAUUACUGGGCGUAAAGCGCGCGUAGGCGGUCUGAUAAGCCGGUUGUGAAAGCCCCGGGCUCAACCUGGGAACGGCAUCCGGAACUGUCAGGCUAGAGUGCAGGAGAGGAAGGUAGAAUUCCCGGUGUAGCGGUGAAAUGCGUAGAGAUCGGGAGGAAUACCAGUGGCGAAGGCGGCCUCCUGGACUGACACUGACGCUGAGGUGCGAAAGCGUGGGUAGCAAACAGGAUUAGAUACCCUGGUAGUC